Molecule: ribosomal RNA, 484 nt
Filed under: uncultured bacterium
Lineage: Bacteria
Description: partial 16S ribosomal RNA
Rfam family: Bacterial small subunit ribosomal RNA
Source: RNAcentral
AUUGAACGCUGGCGGCAGGCCUAACACAUGCAAGUCGAGCGGAUGAAGAGAGCUUGCUCCUGGAUUCAGCGGCGGACGGGUGAGUAAUGCCUAGGAAUCUGCCUGGUAGUGGGGGAUAACGUCCGGAAACGGGCGCUAAUACCGCAUACGUCCUGAGGGAGAAAGUGGGGGAUCUUCGGACCUCACGCUAUCAGAUGAGCCUAGGUCGGAUUGGCUAGUUGGUGGGGUAAAGGCCUACCAAGGCGACGAUCCGUAACUGGUCUGAGAGGAUGAUCAGUCACACUGGAACUGAGACACGGUCCAGACUCCUACGGGAGGCAGCAGUGGGGAAUAUUGGACAAUGGGCGAAAGCCUGAUCCAGCCAUGCCGCGUGUGUGAAGAAGGUCUUCGGAUUGUAAAGCACUUUAAGUUGGGAGGAAGGGCAGUAAGUUAAUACCUUGCUGUUUUGACGUUACCAACAGAAUAAGCACCGGCUAACUUCGUG